Long non-coding RNA from Lepisosteus oculatus (spotted gar), 1870 nucleotides. The record is from Ensembl. Lineage: Eukaryota; Metazoa; Chordata; Actinopteri; Semionotiformes; Lepisosteidae.
AAAUUAUUAAUUAUUAUUAUUAAGGGGCUGGCGACAUCGCUGUGGAAAGGCCUGUGAGAGAGCACCAACAACAGGGCUUUCCUUCAGAGAGGAGAGCUUGCAUGUGUUUCUAUGGAUGUGUUGAGGUCUGUCUGUCUGUGGAUUGCUUCUUGGUGUCUGUGUGAGUGCUCCCAGCUGCCUGCAUGCCCACAGUACCACAUGAGAAGAAUAAGCUUGUUGCAGCCAAAAUUGACUGCAACACAGGAAGACCAAGAGUUCCUAUCAGUGUCACCAAUCUGUAGCUGAGUUUGCAUCAUCGACUUGCUGACAGUUCCUGUGUCUCAUGUAAGAAGUCAAGAUGCUUUGUAAUCCAGUUCGUUGAUGCAGUUCAUCCUGGACUCCAGCAAUUGUUAAAAUUGAAAAGGAUAAUAUCCCCAUGCUCUGGUCACUUUGUCCAAAGGAACACACAAUACACACACGUUCAUCGUCUCAGCUGCAGCUCAUCAGUGACUCAGUGCCUGACUCACUGACCCCGUGACAGUCACUUUUAGAACUUUUGUACUGCUCUGCCUGAUCACUGACCAGGCUUGGCCAUCUCUGGGCUCCUGCUCACAGAGCUUUUUCUGCUUCAUGUUUUUGUUCGAGAGCAAAAAAAAAAGUUAUCUGCCCAAAGGGAGUCUUAAAUUAGCAGCCUGAAAGAUUUAUGUUACAUUGAGGUAUUUACUUACUAGCAAAAACAGGUGUAAACUUAGCAAAGUGGUAAAUUUUUCAGGAAUAUUGGCCUUAGUCCCCGCGUGCUGAAAGCCCCAGGAUCUGCGGUGCUGCUGCUGGACACAGACUGGAGGUCAGAGGUCAGUCGCAGUCACGGACUCGGAAACCGAAGGCGAAUUCCUGGCGUUUCUUCUGGUGUGGCUGCAAAGGGCUGUGUGGACGAGAGAGCUGUGUGUGAGGUGCUCUCUGUCCCCAGCCCACCGUGGCAGUGGGUGCUGCUCUUCAGUGCUCUUCAGACAGAACUCAAGUGGGAAUCCAUCCGUGAUGUUGUUGAUUUUGGACGCCCUGCUGUUUCCUCUGGUAAGCCCGUGGGAAACGGGAAGAGAUUUACCCAAGACACUCUGGGGGGACUUUUCCCUGCUGCAGGGCUCUCACCAUCCACAGAGCCAGUUCCUUUGCCACCUAGCCACCCCUGUCUGCCAUGCUGCCUGUCUCUGCAAUAAUGUUUCAAGUCCUUCGUAGUAAAAGACACUAACCUAGAGUGGUAAUGUAUUGGAAAUCAGACCAAUAGUAAAGAAAACAAUAUUUACAUUUUUGUUUUGAGGUAUUAGGAGAAUCUAAUAUUUGGAUGUUGAAAAUACACACAUUACUAUUGUACUAUGUACUAUUGCGUACCAUUGGAGCUCUUGCACUACCGUACUGUUGGGCUACAUAGUAAUGAUCAUAUGGCUUCUUCAGCGGGGUGCUAAAAUCAGUCUAAUUCUCUUUCCUCCCAGGGCCUUCUGUGUAUUUACACAGCACAGCCCAGUGGCGGGAGGGGUGUGUCUGCCAGCCCUCAGCCUUGGGAUUUGGGUGUGCAAAUUCAUGCAAAUGCUUCAGUUUAUGAUGUCGUCCUUCUUAACUUGAAGAGUCCUUUCAUCCUUCCCCCUGGUGAAAGGAGGCUCUGAUCAAGCGGUCUGUGCUGCAGGCCGGGCCCUGAGAGUCUGUGUGGCAGGGUGAGCAGUGAGAUCUAGACGCUGUGGCCUUUUCAACAGAGCGACGCUGGUGACGUCUGCAGGACAAUUGUUGGUUCUCUUUCCACGUUUCUCACAUUGUAAGUUAAUUCUUGCGGCGCAAGUCAGGAAAACGGCACGCAAAAUAAAACACACUAACACCUACGUAACAUAAGAAAGCUUACAGA